UCCGGUUUGUCACCGGCAGUCUCGCAUGAGUCCCCAACUUAAUGCUGGCAACAUGCGACGGGGGUUGCGCUCGUUGCGGGACUUAACCCAACAUCUCACGACACGAGCUGACGACAGCCAUGCACCACCUGUGAUGGUGUCCCGAAGGAAAGGUAUGUUUCCAUACCGGUCACCAACAUGUCAAGCCCAGGUAAGGUUCUUCGCGUUGCGUCGAAUUAAGCAACAUGCUCCGCUGCUUGUGCGGGCCCCCGUCAAUUCCUUUGAGUUUCAGCCUUGCGGCCAUACUCCCCAGGCGGUCAACUUCACGCGUUAGCUUCGUUACCAAGGAAUUGCUUCCCCGACAACCAGUUGACAUAGUUUAGGGCGUGGACUAC
RNAcentral lists this unclassified non-coding RNA (374 nucleotides) under uncultured bacterium. Its description in RNAcentral is "contains 16S-23S intergenic spacer region". The record is from RNAcentral.